Molecule: long non-coding RNA, 506 nt
Organism: Haliotis rufescens (red abalone)
Lineage: Eukaryota; Metazoa; Mollusca; Gastropoda; Lepetellida; Haliotidae
Exons: 3
Source: RefSeq, a predicted model, not a curated record
AACUGUAAUCGGCCAACCUCGUCUCUUUCCGUAACUGCUGCAGAAAUGACCGCUCGUCAUUCGUGACCAACUCGUGUUAUUCCGGGACAAGCAAGUCUACCCAUAAUUCCCUGUAUGACCGAGGGCGCCAUUUUGGAACACAAAUGUAAACAAACACUUAAACCUCGUGUAAUCGAUGUACACCGUGAUGCUUGAUUGCGAUAUGCUUACCUCGUGUAUGAAUACAUUGUUCUCAAUCACCUCUAACACGGAAAUCCCGGUCGAAAUCCACCUGAGCCAUCCACAACGAGGACGUCAAGUAUUUCGAAAACUCGAUUGGCAGCCGAAGGAAGGAAGAGCAGCUUGCAGAUGCCAGCAUGUUCAGGGUUUGUGGGGAGGUUCACAGACAUCCUCAGGGAGGAUACCAAGUAUUGAAAUGUCCGGAUGAAUAAAAGAGACAGUCAUCUGUGCAGCAUCAAUGCAAAGAAAGACCAUAGAAGAGCAACAGUGACUGGAAAAUAUUUUGA